AGUGAGUAGCUUGCUAUGAGCUGUUUAGCGGCGGACGGGUGAGUAACGCGUGAGCAAUCUGUCCCAGACAGGGGGAUAACAGAUGGAAACAUCUGCUAAUACCGCAUAAGACCACGAGGUCACAUGAUCUUGGGUAAAGAAUUAUCGGUUGGGUGGGCUCGCGUCCGAUUAGGUAGUUGGUGAGGUAACGGCCCACCAAGGCGACGAUCAGUAGCCGGACUGAGAGGUUGAACGGCCACAUUGGGACUGAGAUACGGCCCAGACUCC
RNAcentral lists this ribosomal RNA (267 nucleotides) under uncultured Clostridia bacterium. RNAcentral's name for it is "partial 16S ribosomal RNA". It matches the Rfam family "Bacterial small subunit ribosomal RNA", at positions 65 to 339 of the family's 1533-position model. The record is from RNAcentral. Lineage: Bacteria; Bacillati; Bacillota; Clostridia.